RNAcentral lists this ribosomal RNA (484 nucleotides) under uncultured bacterium. RNAcentral describes it as "partial 16S ribosomal RNA". It matches the Rfam family "Bacterial small subunit ribosomal RNA", at positions 30 to 507 of the family's 1533-position model. The record is from RNAcentral.
AUUGAACGCUGGCGGCAGGCCUAACACAUGCAAGUCGAGCGGAUGAAGGGAGCUUGCUCCUGGAUUCAGCGGCGGACGGGUGAGUAAUGCCUAGGAAUCUGCCUGGUAGUGGGGGAUAACGUCCGGAAACGGGCGCUAAUACCGCAUACGUCCUGAGGGAGAAAGUGGGGGAUCUUCGGACCUCACGCUAUCAGAUGAGCCUAGGUCGGAUUAGCUAGUUGGUGGGGUAAAGGCCUACCAAGGCGACGAUCCGUAACUGGUCUGAGAGGAUGAUCAGUCACACUGGAACUGAGACACGGUCCAGACUCCUACGGGAGGCAGCAGUGGGGAAUAUUGGACAAUGGGCGAAAGCCUGGUCCAGCCAUGCCGCGUGUGUGAAGAAGGUCUUCGGAUUGUAAAGCACUUUAAGUUGGGAGGAAGGGCAGUAAGUUAAUACCUUGCUGUUUCGACGUUACCAACAGAAUAAGCACCGGCUAACUUCGUG